ACGACUGCUAAGACUGGAUAGGAGAUAAGAAGGCAUCUUCUUAUUUUUAAAAGACCUAGCAAUAGGUAUGCUUAGGGAAGAGCUUGCGUCACAUUAGUUAGUUGGUGGGGUAAUGGCCUACCAAGACGAUGAUGUGUAGCCGGGCUGAGAGGUCGAACGGCCACAUUGGGACUGAGACACGGCCCAAACUCCUACGGGAGGCAGCAGUAAGGAAUUUUCGACAAUGGAGGAAACUCUGACCGAGCAAUGCCGCGUGAACGAUGAAGUAUUUCGGUACGUAAAGUUCUUUUAUUAGGGAAGAAAAGAUGGUGGAAAAACCAUUAUGACGGUACCUAAUGAAUAGGCCCCGGCUAACUAUGUGCCAGCAGCCGCGGUAAUACAUAGGGGGCAAGCGUUAUCCGGAAUUAUUGGGAGUAAAGGGUGCAUAGGCGGUUAAAUAAGUUUAUGGUCUAAGUGCAACGCUCAACGUUGUGAUGCUAUAAAAACUGUUUAGCUAGAGUUGGAUAGAGGCAAGUGGAAUUCCGUGUGUAGUGGUAAAAUGCGUAAAUAUACGGGAGGAACACCAGAAGCGAAGGCGGCUUGCUGGGUCUUAACUGACGCUGAGGCACGAAAGCGUGGGGAGCAAACAGGAUUAGAUACCCUGGUAGUCCACGCCCUAAACGAUGAGUACUAAACGUUGGAUAAAACCAGUGUUGAAGUUAACACAUUAAGUACUCCGCCUGAGUAGUACGUACGCAAGUAUGAAACUUAAAGGAAUUGACGGGACUCCGCACAAGUGGUGGAUCAUGUUGUUUAAUUCGAAGGUACCCGAAAAACCUCACCAGGUCUUGACAUGCUUUUGCAAAGCUGUAGAAAUACAGUGGAGGUUAUCAGAAGCACAGGUGGUGCAUGGUUGUCGUCAGCUCGUGUCGUGAGAUGUUGGGUUAAGUCCCGCAACAAGCGCAACCCUUGUUGUUAAUUGCCAUCAUUAAGUUGGGGACUUUAGCAAGACUGCCAAUGAUAAAUUGGAGGAAGGUGGGGACGACGUCAAAUCAUCAUGCCCCUUAUGACCUGGGCUACAAACGUGAUACAAUGGCUGUUACAAAGGGUAGCUAAAGCGUAAGCUUCUGGCGAAUCUCAAAAAAGCAGUCUCAGUUCGGAUUGAAGUCUGCAACUCGACUUCAUGAAGUUGGAAUCGCUAGUAAUCGCGAAUCAGCAUGUCGCGGUGAAUACGUUCUCGGGGUUUGUACACACCGCCCGUCAA
Molecule: ribosomal RNA, 1243 nt
Filed under: Iranian peach phytoplasma PP49
Lineage: Bacteria; Bacillati; Mycoplasmatota; Mollicutes; Acholeplasmatales; Acholeplasmataceae
Description: bacterial SSU rRNA
Rfam family: Bacterial small subunit ribosomal RNA
Source: RNAcentral